Molecule: transfer RNA, 96 nt
Filed under: Streptomyces microflavus
Lineage: Bacteria; Bacillati; Actinomycetota; Actinomycetes; Kitasatosporales; Streptomycetaceae
Description: tRNA-Leu
Source: RNAcentral
GCCAGCUUGGGGCGGAUCAGGGUCUGGAGGCCCGAGAAGGCUCCGCAGGCGAUGUCGCCGCCGACGUAGUUGGCGUUGCGUGCGGCGAGCUGGGGC